AUCAAGGUGUAGGAUGAAGAGAUCAAGGUGUAGGAUGAAGAGAUCAAGGUGUAGGAUGAAGUGAUUAAGGUUUAAGAUGAAGAGAUCAAGGUGCAGAAUGAAGAGAUCAAGGUGUAGGAUGAAGAGAUUGAACUUUAGGUUAAAGAGAUCAAGGUGUAGGAUGAAGUGAUUAAGGUUUAAGAUGAAGAGAUCAAGGUGCAGAAUGAAGAGCUCAAGGUGUAGGAUGAAGUGAUUAAGGUUUAAGAUGAAGAGAUCAAGGUGCAGAAUGAAGAGAUCAAGGUGUAGGAUGAAGAGAUUGAACUUUAGGUUAAAGAGAUCAAGGUGUAGGAUGAAGUGAUUAAGGUUUAAGAUGAAGAGAUCAAGGUGUAGGAUGAAGAGAUCAAGGUGUAGGAUGAAGUGAUUAAGGUUUAAGAUGAAGAGAUCAAGGUGUAGGAUGAAGAGAUCAAGGUGUAGGGUGAAGUGAUUAAGGUUUAAGAUGAAGAGAUCAAGGUGUAGGAUGAAGA
Homarus americanus (American lobster) is the source of this 503-nucleotide long non-coding RNA. RefSeq lists it as uncharacterized. The record is from RefSeq and is a predicted model, not a curated record. The transcript has 9 exons. NCBI's taxonomy places the organism in Eukaryota, Metazoa, Arthropoda, Malacostraca, Decapoda, Nephropidae.